CCUACGGGAGGCAGCAGUGGGGAAUAUUGCACAAUGGGGGAAACCCUGAUGCAGCGACGCCGCGUGAGUGAAGAAGUAAUUCGUUAUGUAAAGCUCUAUCAGCAGGGAAGAAAAUGACGGUACCUGAGUAAGAAGCCCUGGCUAACUACGUGCCAGCAGCCGCGGUAAUACGUAGGGGGAAAGCGUUAUCCGGAUUUACUGGGUGUAAAGGGAGCGUAGACGGCAGUGCAAGUCUGGAGUGAAAGGCGGGGGCGCAACCCCUGGACUGCACUGGAAACUGUACGGCUGGAGUGCGGGAGAGGUAAGUGGAAUUCCUGGUGUAGCGGUGAAAUGCGUAGAUAUUAGGAGGAACACCAGUGGCGAAGGCGGCUUACUGGACUGUAACUGACGUUGAGGCUCGAAAGCGUGGGGAGCAAACAGGAUUAGAUACCCGUGUAGUC
This 440-nucleotide ribosomal RNA is filed under the name uncultured bacterium. RNAcentral describes it as "partial 16S ribosomal RNA". It matches the Rfam family "Bacterial small subunit ribosomal RNA", at positions 338 to 795 of the family's 1533-position model. The record is from RNAcentral.